Molecule: long non-coding RNA, 640 nt
Filed under: Dendronephthya gigantea
Lineage: Eukaryota; Metazoa; Cnidaria; Anthozoa; Malacalcyonacea; Nephtheidae
Description: uncharacterized LOC114529444, transcript variant X2
Source: RNAcentral
GUGAUGACUGCCCGAGAUGACUGCCCGGGAUGACUGCCUUAGAUGACUGCCCGAGAUGACUGCCCGAGAUGAUGUUACUUGGAAGACUUUUCUAUCUCGUUCGUUGACACACAUCAGCAAGAUGAGGUCACAUCGACGGUCGGUAAAUUUCGACCUCAAACAGGACGAGACAACGAAUGCUGACACGAACCAACCAACCACACAACCAAACUCAAACUAACCUAAAACAUUCAAACAUAUCUUUAGGCGGCGGCGAAGCUCCCGGGUAGACGAAGUGAAAAUCUCUCGCUCGACGGCAAGAACUCGCCUCUGGAAUUCUCGACCCCAAGGAACUGCCAACGAUGACCUUCUCGGAGCAGAAAAAAAGCUAUUCGGAGGCAUGUCAUUUAGUGUUAUCAGUUAACUGGACUUUGUGAGAGUUUUCUUGCAAAAUGUUUGCCAAGGUGGCGAUCGAAGGUGGACAGCAAGAUCGAAGCUCAGCAAGAUUGAAGAUUGUUCGAGGAAGAAGGAGUUCGCCGUUGACUAAAAGUUUUAUCUGAACAGCUAGUUGUCAAGAUGAACGUGAAGAGAAAAAAGAUGAAAUCAGUUCAAGACUCGCCCGGCCAAAUUCAAAAUGGCGAUGCCAAAGAAAACCAUACAC